Molecule: ribosomal RNA, 191 nt
Filed under: uncultured bacterium
Lineage: Bacteria
Description: partial 16S ribosomal RNA
Rfam family: Bacterial small subunit ribosomal RNA
Source: RNAcentral
GCAGGCUGCAACUCGCCUGCAUGAAGUUGGAGUUGCUAGUAAUCGCGGAUCAGAAUGCCGCGGUGAAUGCGUUCCCGGGUCUUGUACACACCGCCCGUCACACCACGGAAGUUGGGGGUGCCCAAAGUUGGCAGGAUAAUAUGUUACCUAAGGCAAAACCGAUGACUGGGGUGAAGUCGUAACAAGGUAAC